AUGAUUUCUCACAUGCAAACAAUUUUUCUCUUGCAGAAUGAACAAGUGCAAAUAGUUACUUAUGCAUUCCUGACGAAAGACGCCCAUGAAUUUUUCCCCCCACAUAGCGAGACCAUUGACCCAUCAGUGUCCCUAUGCAACCCCAGCCUCAUUUCCAUGUUUUGUGCAUUAUGGAGGAGCUCCUUGGCCAGUAGAAGAUGUAAAGGAUGAAGAUUCAUUAUUGCCAGCUGUGAAGUAGCAACAUGUUAGUUUUAAUUCAUUUAGAAUACCAAAAAAAAAAAAGUUUUAGAUGUUUCCCUUCAAGUGCAGAUGUGAUAGAGUGUGAUUAUUUCAAACUCUUCAAAUUCUACAACAAAUUGUGAGGACAAUGAGAGCAGUGUGCCAGUCGAUCCAAGUGUGGUCUUUGUACCAUUUGGGCGUAUGGGAAUCAUUCUGGAGUUUGCCUGCUAGCACUCCUCUGUACAUCAGUAAAAGAACUAGUCAGUGCUAAAGAAAACCCAGAGCAGAGCAAACUUAGGGUCUGGCUCCAUCUUAUGCUGGAAUCUGGAGUUAUAAAGCAGCUAGAAGCAGAUGCUCAGAUAUUUAGCUCUUUAAAACAAGUGGAAAUCAGGCCACGCUUACCUGUAAAGCUUUGCUGUUCUGGGAAUUUCCAGAAGCACUUAAGUACCAAAUUUUUCCUAAGAAAGCUUUGAACUUGGGGGGUUGAGCAUUGCUUUCAGGUACCUAUCUAUGUGCUUGGGUAUCUACAUAUCACCAAGAUUCCUGCCUGUGGAGGGAUGACCUCAUUGAAUCACAACAGGUAAGUGGCAUCACAACUGGUAACUACUUAAACAAUCUCCCUGAUGCCCCAAGCAGUAGAAGCCCUCUUGUGCUAGAGAUGUCCCCUUUUGAUUGCUUGGGACCAUUCAUAAUCCCAUGGCUUUUUUCACAAAAUACAUCAGCCUGCAAUUUAAUUGCAAGCCUAAGCUGCAGCACCAGCACAGCUGGUAUUUGAAAUGGUAGAUGAUGGUUUGGUGAGGCUGAGGGGAGAAGGGCAGGAGGGCUGGACCCCACUCAGGUGGCAAUGGCAGCUCCUCCCCCACCAGUCAAGGAUAACACAGCCUAUGCCACAUCUGUCCGGAUUUCCUCCCUGUUGUGGUAAAUUACUGUCAUUAUAAGCGAAGAAAAAACUUUUUUAAAGGGCAAUGAAUUAAGCAAAACCAAAGCCAGA
RNAcentral lists this long non-coding RNA (1210 nucleotides) under Cyanistes caeruleus (blue tit). RNAcentral's name for it is "lncRNA (ENSCCEG00000016100.1)". The record is from RNAcentral. Lineage: Eukaryota; Metazoa; Chordata; Aves; Passeriformes; Paridae.